GACGAACGCUGGCGGCGUGCCUAAUACAUGCAAGUUGAGCGCUGAAGGUUGGUACUUGUACCAACUGGAUGAGCAGCGAACGGGUGAGUAACGCGUGGGGAAUCUGCCUUUGAGCGGGGGACAACAUUUGGAAACGAAUGCUAAUACCGCAUAAAAACUUUAAACACAAGUUUUAAGUUUGAAAGAUGCAAUUGCAUCACUCAAAGAUGAUCCCGCGUUGUAUUAGCUAGUUGGUGAGGUAAAGGCUCACCAAGGCGAUGAUACAUAGCCGACCUGAGAGGGUGGUCGGCCACAAUGGGACUGGGACACGGCCCAAACUCCUACGGGAGGCAGCAGUAGGGGAUCUUCGGCAAUGGACGGAAGUCUGACCGAGCAACGCCGCGUGAGUGGAGAAGGUUUUCGGAUCGUAAAACUCUGUUGGUAGAGAAGAACGUUGGUGAGAGUGGAAAGCUCAUCAAGUGACGGUAACUACCCAGAAAGGGACGGCUAACUACGUG
Molecule: ribosomal RNA, 497 nt
Filed under: uncultured bacterium
Lineage: Bacteria
Description: partial 16S ribosomal RNA
Rfam family: Bacterial small subunit ribosomal RNA
Source: RNAcentral